UACGUAGGGUGCAAGCGUUGUCCGGAAUUAUUGGGCGUAAAGAGCUCGUAGGCGGUCUGUCGCGUCGGCUGUGAAAACCCGGAGCUCAACUCCGGGCCUGCAGUCGAUACGGGCAAACUGGAGUACUGCAGGGGAGACUGGAAUUCCUGGUGUAGCGGUGAAAUGCGCAGAUAUCAGGAGGAACACCGGUGGCGAAGGCGGGUCUCUGGGCAGUAACUGAC
RNAcentral lists this ribosomal RNA (221 nucleotides) under uncultured bacterium. RNAcentral describes it as "partial 16S ribosomal RNA". It matches the Rfam family "Bacterial small subunit ribosomal RNA", at positions 524 to 744 of the family's 1533-position model. The record is from RNAcentral.